UGCGCGAUUGAAUGAGCCGAUGUCGGAUUAGCUUGUUGGCGGGGUAAAGGCCCACCAAGGCGACGAUCCGUAGCUGGUCUGAGAGGAUGAUCAGCCACACUGGAACUGAGACACGGUCCAGACUCCUACGGGAGGCAGCAGUGGGGAAUAUUGGACAAAGGGCGCAAGCCUGAUCCAGCCAUACCGCGUGGGUGAAGAAGGCCUUCGGGUUGUAAGCCCUUUUGUUGGGAAAGAAAUCCAGCUGGCUAAUACCCGGUUGGGAUGACGGUACCCAAAGAAUAAGCACCGGCUAACUUCGUGCCAGCAGCCGCGGUAAUACGAAGGGUGCAAGCGUUACUCGGAAUUACUGGGCGUAAAGCGUGCGUAGGUGGUCGUUUAAGUCCGUUGUGAAAGCCCUGGGCUCAACCUGGGAACUGCAGUGGAUACUGGGCGACUAGAAUGUGGUAGAGGGUAGCGGAAUU
This 461-nucleotide ribosomal RNA is filed under the name uncultured soil bacterium. RNAcentral's name for it is "bacterial SSU rRNA". It matches the Rfam family "Bacterial small subunit ribosomal RNA", at positions 214 to 668 of the family's 1533-position model. The record is from RNAcentral.